GUUAUAUGGUCAAGUGAAGAAGCGCAUACGGUGGAUGCUUGGCAGUCAGAGGCGAUGAAA
This 60-nucleotide ribosomal RNA is filed under the name Pseudomonas sp. ATCC 13867. RNAcentral describes it as "partial 23S ribosomal RNA". The record is from RNAcentral. Lineage: Bacteria; Pseudomonadati; Pseudomonadota; Gammaproteobacteria; Pseudomonadales; Pseudomonadaceae.